Unclassified non-coding RNA from Aotus nancymaae (Ma's night monkey), 102 nucleotides. It matches the Rfam family "Y RNA". From Rfam's summary of the family: Y RNAs are components of the Ro ribonucleoprotein particle (Ro RNP), in association with Ro60 and La proteins. The Y RNAs and Ro60 and La proteins are well conserved, but the function of the Ro RNP is not known. NCBI's taxonomy places the organism in Eukaryota, Metazoa, Chordata, Mammalia, Primates, Aotidae. The record is from Ensembl.
CACUGGUCCAAGUGCAGUGGUGUUUAUCACUAAUUCAUCACAACCAGUUACAGAUUUCUUUGUUCCUUUUCUACUCCCACUGCUUCACUUGACUAGCCUUAA